This 469-nucleotide ribosomal RNA is filed under the name uncultured bacterium. RNAcentral's name for it is "bacterial SSU rRNA". It matches the Rfam family "Bacterial small subunit ribosomal RNA", at positions 28 to 505 of the family's 1533-position model. The record is from RNAcentral.
GACGAACGCUGGCGGAAUGCCUAAAACAUGCAAGUCGAACGACGCUCAUGAAGUGCUUGCACGGAUUGAUGACGGAGUGGCGAACGGGUGCGGAACACGUGAAUAACCUGCCCUAGAGACUGGGAUAGCUCAGAGAAAUUUGAAUUAAUACCAGAUGUCUUCUUUAAACCUCAUGGUUUUUUGAAGAAAUGCUUUUGCGCUCUAGGAUGGAUUCGCGGCCUAUCAGCUUGUUGGUGAGGUAACGGCUCACCAAGGCAACGACGGGUAGCUGGUCUGAGAGGACGAUCAGCCACAUCGGGACUGAGACACGGCCCGGACUUCUACGGAAGGCAGCAGUUGGGAAUAUUGCGCAAUGGGGGAAACCCUGACGCAGCAAUUCCGCGUGCGGGAAGACGGCCUUCGGGUUGUAAACCGCUUUCAGCAGGGAAGAAAUUGACGGUACCUGCAAAAGAAGCCCCGGCUAACUAUG